GCCGAUGUAGCUCAGUUGGCAGAGCAUGCGCAUGGUAAGCGCAAGGUCGGCGGUUCGAUCCCGCCCAUCGGCU
RNAcentral lists this transfer RNA (73 nucleotides) under Candidatus Liptonbacteria bacterium. RNAcentral's name for it is "tRNA-Thr". It matches the Rfam family "tRNA". From Rfam's summary of the family: Transfer RNA (tRNA) molecules are approximately 80 nucleotides in length. Their secondary structure includes four short double-helical elements and three loops (D, anti-codon, and T loops). The record is from RNAcentral. Lineage: Bacteria; Candidatus Liptoniibacteriota.